CUCUUUUCCAGGGAAAUCCAGGUCUUCAGGGCAUGAAUGGGCCAAAGGGCACAGUUGGCAUGAUGGGUUCCCCAGGAGAAAAUGGGAAGAAGGGUGAUCAGGGACUACCUGGGCUUUCAGGUUCAUCAGGCCCUGUAGGUCUCAAGGGAAUUCAGGGACCCCGAGGUCUCGAUGGCCAGAAAGGAGACCGAGGAAUGACAGGAGAGAAAGGAGCUGGUGGCCAGCGGG
Molecule: long non-coding RNA, 228 nt
Organism: Candoia aspera
Lineage: Eukaryota; Metazoa; Chordata; Lepidosauria; Squamata; Candoiidae
Exons: 3
Source: RefSeq, a predicted model, not a curated record